UCUCGUGGUCUGAGUGUCCUUCAGGUGCCUUUUGGCAAACUCCAGGUUGGCUGCCAUGUGGCUUCCAUCUGACCUCUCUAGCAUGCAGGCCUGAAUGGUGUAUUGCUGCAGAGAUGGUUGUCCUUCUGGAAGGUUCUCCUCUCUCCCCAGAGGAAUGCUGGAGCUCUGACAGAGUGCAAUUUAGACUGGU
This is a long non-coding RNA of Thalassophryne amazonica, 190 nucleotides long. RefSeq lists it as uncharacterized. The record is from RefSeq and is a predicted model, not a curated record. NCBI's taxonomy places the organism in Eukaryota, Metazoa, Chordata, Actinopteri, Batrachoidiformes, Batrachoididae. The transcript is spliced from 3 exons.